Molecule: unclassified non-coding RNA, 378 nt
Filed under: plant metagenome
Description: partial contains 5.8S ribosomal RNA, internal transcribed spacer 2, and large subunit ribosomal RNA
Rfam family: 5.8S ribosomal RNA (bases 1-105)
Source: RNAcentral
GAAAUGCGAUAAGUAAUGUGAAUUGCAGAAUUCAGUGAAUCAUCGAAUCUUUGAACGCACCUUGCGCUCCUUGUUAUUCCUUGGAGCAUGCCUGUUUGAGUAUCAUGAAAUCUUCAAAGUAAAUCUUUUGUUAACUCAAUUGGUUUCUACUUUGGUAUUGGAGGUCUUUGCAGCUUCACACCUGCUCCUCUUUGUUCAUUAGCUGGAUCUCAGUGUUAUGCUUGGUUCCACUCGGCGUGAUAAGUUAUCUAUCGCUGAGGACACUGUAAAAGGUGGCCAAGGUAAAUGCAGAUGAACCGCUUCUAAUAGUCCAUUGACUUGGACAAUACUUUUAUGAUCUGAUCUCAAAUCAGGUAGGACUACCCGCUGAACUUAAGC